UACAGAGGUCUCAAGCGUUGUUCGGAUUCAUUGGGCGUAAAGGGCGCGUAGGUGGCUCCGUAAGUCGGGUGUGAAAUUUCGGAGCUUAACUCCGAAACUGCAUUCGAUACUGCCGUGCUUGAGGACUGGAGAGGAGACUGGAAUUUACGGUGUAGCGGUGAAAUGCGUAGAUAUCGUAAGGAAGACCAGUGGCGAAGGCGGGUCUCUGGACAGUUCCUGACGCUGAGGCACGAAGGCCAGGGGAGCAAACGGG
Molecule: ribosomal RNA, 253 nt
Filed under: uncultured bacterium
Lineage: Bacteria
Description: partial 16S ribosomal RNA
Rfam family: Bacterial small subunit ribosomal RNA
Source: RNAcentral